AGUAAAAAGCUAGGUUUUUAUAUUUUCUUAAUGAAUAAUAAAUGUUUCUUUAAUUGACAUAUAGCUGAUGUGCAAUAUUAUGCUGGUUUCAUUUGUAUUAUGUAGUGAUUUGACAUUUGCAUACACUAUGAAAUGAUCACCACAGUAAGUCUAGUAACCAUCUGUCCCCAAAGUUAUUACCAUAUCAUGGACCAUAUUCCUUAUGCUCUAUGUUACAUCCCAGUGGCUUAUUUAUUUUAUAACUAGAAGUUUGUACUUCUGAAUCCCCUUUAUCUUUUUUGUCCAACCCAUACGCAACUCUGGUAACCAUCCAUUGCUCUCAAUAUCUUUGUGUCUGUUUUUAUUUUGAUUUGUUUUAAGAAUCCAUAUAGAAGUGAGGUUAUACAGUAUUUAUUUUUCUCCAUCUGACUUAUUAGCAUAAUACCCUCUAGAUCUAUCAUCUUGUCACAAAUGCAAGAUUUUUUUUAUGUUUGUGUAAUACUCUACAUCUUUACCUGUUAGUCUAUCACCGGACCCUUAGGUUGCCUCCAUAUCUUGACUGUUGUAAAUAAUGCAGCAAUGAAUAUUGGGGUGCAUAUAUUUUUAUGAAUUAGUGUUUUUGUUUAUUUUGGUAAAUACCCAGAAGCGAAAUAGCUGGAUCACAUGGGUAGUUCUUUUUUAAUUUUUUGAGGAAUCUCCAUAGUUUUCCCCAUAGUGGCUGCACCAAUUUAUAGUCCCACCAACAAUGCACAUGACACCUCUUUUUACCACAUUCUUGCCAACACUUAUCAUUUGUUGUCUUUUCGAUGAUAGCAACUCUGACAGAUGUGAGGUGGUAUUUCACUGCAGUUUUGUUUUCACUUUCCGAUGAUUAGUGAUGUCAAAUAUCUUUUCAUGUGUCUGCCGGCCAUCUGUUUGUCUUCUUUGGAAAAAUGUCUAUUCAGUUUCUCUGCUCAUUUUAAUCGAGUUUGUUUUUCUGGACAUUUAGUUGUGUGAGUUAUUUGUAUAUUUUGGAUAUUAACCCCUUAUCAGAUAUAUCAUUUGCAGAUAAUUUUUCUCAUUCAGUAGACUGCCUCUUCAUUUUGUUGAUAAUUUCUUUUAGUGUGCAGAAUCUUUUUGGUUUGAUAUAACCAUAUUUGUUUAUUUUUGGUUUUGUUUGCCUUGCCUGAGGAGACAGAUCCAAAAUGUAUACACAGAGCUAAGACUGAUCUCAAAGAGCUCACUGGUUAUGUUUUCUUCUAAGAGUUUAAUGCUUUCAGGUUUAACAUUUAAGUCAUCACAUUGAGUUUAUUUUUGUGUAUGGUGUGAGAAGAUCGUUCCGUUAUAUUCUUUUGCACAUAGCUGUCUUGUUUUCCCUAUACCAUUUAUUAAAGAAGAUAUCUUUUCCCUAUUGUAUAUUCUUGCAUCCUUUGUUAUAAAGUAAUUGAUCACAUGGGUGUAGGUUCAUUUCUAGGCUCUUUUUUUCUCUCCCAUUGAUCUAUGUGACUAUUUUAUGCCAGUAUUACACUAUUUAGAAUACUGUGUCUUCAUAGUAUAUAUUUGUAAAUCAAUGAUCUCAAGUUAAAAUGCAUUCUAAGAACCCUACUUUACUGCCCACCCCUCCUUUGAUGUUUUUGCUGUCUUAUUUUACAUGUUUUUGUUUUCUGUAGCUCUUUACUACUUAUUUUGAAUAUAGGUGAUUUUACUACUUUCAUAACCUUCCUACUAGCUCUAUAAGUGGUUGAUCCAAUACCUUUACUAUUUAUUUGCCUUUACCAAUGAAAACUUUCCUCUUAUCCUUUUAAUAUUUCUAGUUGUGGCCUUUUCUUUUACACUUAAAAAAGUCCCUUUAACAUUUUUUUUGUAAGGCCUGUUUAGUGAUGCUGAACUCUCUUAGCUUUUGCUUGUUCUGUAAAGUUCUCUAUCUCCUUAAAAUCUGAAAUGAUAACCUUGCCUGUGGAGUAUUUCUGGUUACAGGUUUUUUCUUUCAUCACUUAGUAUAUGUAAUGCCACUCUCUUCCGGACUAACUGCAAGCCCCUGGCACUAAUAGGCUAGAGGGAGGAUUCUAAAAUGGCACUUGCCAAUGGCAGGGUCACUGCAGCAGAACUCUUAAAAAUGUCUGCUGCCAGGGUCUCCAUUUCCGGGGUAGGCCAAAUUGCUUCCUACCUCUCCAGGAGGCUCUCCAAGAUCAGCAAAUGGGUUUGAUUCAGGCUCCUUCCAACCACCUCUGUGCUGGGACUCAGCAUGUGUGUGAGCUUUUGCAUGGGCCUUUAAAAGCAGAGUCCAUGUUUCCUGUAAGCCUCUGGCUCCCCCAAAUAUAAGCCAUGCUGGUUUUUAAAGCCAGAGAUUCUGGAAGCUCAUCUUCCCAGCACAGGACCCCUGGGCUGGAAAGCCAAAUGUGAGACUCAAAUCCUUUGCUUUUGGGGGAUGAUUCCUUAAGUUGCAAUAUUCCUCCUAUUUGUGGGUUGCUGACUUUGGGUGUAUAACUCCUGACUCCAUUGUGUCUCUACCCUUCCUACCUGUCUCUUUGUGGCUCCUUCUUUGCCUCUUUAGUUGUAGAAAAUCUUGUCGGCUAGUCUCCAGGUCAUUCUGAUAGUUGUUUUGUAAGCAGUUGUAAUUUUGGUAUGCCCAUGGGAGGAGGUGAAUUAGAAGGUUUCCUAUUCUGCCAUCUUGGCCACACCCCCAAGCAAUGUUUUUUUUUUUUUUUAAUGUUUCUUUAUUAAAAUUCCCUGCUAUAUAGAAUAUUUAUAAGUAGAAACUUUUAGAGUUGCCAAAUAUGAGAUUAUACCACUUCAAAAUAAUAACAUAUGAAGAACUAAAUUUGAAAAUUUACAAUUGAAGUGUAUUCUUCAUUUUGAAGGAGCAUUUAUUAAAGGAUUCUUUUAGCUUUUGACAAACAUCUACCUAAAAACUAAAGUAAAUCCACAUUAACCUUUUGUAUGGGAGUGCACACCUUAAAUAGUAUAAUACAAAGAUUAAAUUUUAGUGACUUCUUUGCAAUUAGUAAAUGUAUUUUAAUUUCAUAACAUCAUACCUCCAUUCUACAAAGCAAACAAAGACUCCAUUGACUAUUAAUAUAAAGAAAAGCUAUUCAAAGGAUGAAUCUUUGCUACUGGUAUUGAGUUUUAUUUCAUGCUUAAUGUGCUAUGUAGGGAAAGAAAGAAAAUGUUAACAGUGUUCCAUGAUUCAAUGAUUUUUGAGAUAAAAAGAUUUUCAAUUUAUGAUUCCAUGGAUUCCCAAAGAGUGCUUUAGAUAUUGAAAAAGUGCAGUGAGAAAAGUUUUAUGAUCACCAAGGGCACUGUCUUAGAAUGUGGGUUACCUGGUAUGUCUCAGGCACUUAAGAAAGGUUGAGUGAAGUUACAAAACUGUGAUAUUCCCAUGUUUCAAUAAAAUUACAGGCCAGAAUAUUAGGCCAUUCUGUAAGUUCAUCUGACUUCUAUAUUGUGUUUUCAAUUAAGGAAAGUAAGAAUCUUACUUUCAUACUAAUUCCAAAGCACAAUAUAAUAUAUUCCUAAUUUCUAUACUCUCUUGCUAUUGUCUUCUAUUGAAUUAUAUUAUUGGCAUGGCUGAUCUUCAAAUUCUGUUCAUAGAAACCAGGUGAAUAUCACAUAAAUUUUUGUUGAUUGUUAUCAUCAGCACUCAUGAAUAUGAGUGAUUGAUAAUAACUGCUAGUAUCAUCAUAGUUGGUACUUUGCAUGUUACUUCAAAAUUGCUUACAAUUCUAGAAGGUAUUAUUACCCCACUGCUAUAAAUGAGAAAAUGGAGGGUCUGAGGUUUAGCAACUUUUCCAAGGUCACUUAGUUAAAAUGAUCUUGUGCUAUGCUGUGAACCCAGACCUGAAAACUUCAUAAACCAAGAGCAUUUCCAAUGUGUCAUCCUGCUAAUUCUUUGGUAACAAAUUGACAGAAAGGAAAUUUCAACUUUCUCACACACAUGGUGCUUUGUCAUUAACAACUCACCCCUACAGCUUUGAGUAAUGAUUUCACAUAGAGGAGAUGCAAAGCAAUUUAUCAUUUUUGUAGAUUUAGAGUUUGCUAGUAGCAGAUGGCUCUGAGAGGUGGAAACGUAGAUUUCAGGAGGCAAUUCAAAAUGAGCCUCCACUUGUCCAACUAGGUAGCCUUCUUAUUUGGAAAUGUAUAGAGAUUAAUUUUUUCUCUUUGAAUUCUAUAAUUGUAAAGGCUUUAGUAUUCACUUACAUCACGUUGCUUACAUUUUUCAUUCAAAUUCUACCUACAAUAUGGUUUUGACUAAAAUAAUUUAUUCUAAAAUGUUGGGACUUAUUUAUAUAAUGUCAACAAAUGUACUUUAAGGUUUGAAGACAUUUUUGUAGGCUGGGCUUGCUUAUAAAAUGUUACUAUUAUGCUUUAUUGAGCACUUAUGUUUUUGUCCCCAUGCUAAGCACUUUCCAUGUGCUGGAUCACACAGUCUUCACAAUCAUCUUAUGAGGUCAUUGGAAUUCUCUUUUGUGAGGAAACUGAGGAUUAGAGGGAGACUAUAUUGACUGACUAAAUCUGAGUACUAAAAGAUUCUGAGAGAUUUGAUUAAUAGUCUGAUUUUAAUAAGACAAAAUUUAACCUGGAAAAACACAACAUCCUGUACUUAGGUUUAAAACAAUUGUGUAAGUAUAGAAUGGGGAAAAUGUGGUUUAUCAACGGACCAUAAAUAUAAGAGAUGGAGAGUUUUGUUCAAGAAGAAGCUCUAGUCAGGCCAAUGAUAUAUUGAGACUGCCAAAAUAAUAAUAAUAAUGUGAACUUAGUCUGCAUUGAUGGAAGCAAAGACAUAAGGGGGAGACGGGGCCGAUUCUCCUGUUUCUAGAUUUUUUCCAAUUUUUGAGUGGUUCUGGUCCUAAUGCCAUUUUUUUUUUUUAGCAGUUGUAAAUGGAUUCAAUGUAUUCAAAAAGAAACAACUAUGCUGAUGGUUGAAACCAUAUAAGAUUAAAAAUGGUCAAAAGGCAUGGCAGUGUUUACCACUGAAGAAAAAUAAAUAAAAAUUCAAGGAUAACAAGAUAGCUAUACUUCAAUAUUUGAGAAAAUGCCACAAACAAGGAUUAUUUUUGCUUAGUAUAAACUCAAGUAGUAAAACUGGCAACAGUGAGUAGAGGAAGCUAUACACAGAAAGAAUUCAACUCUUAACAAGUGAGAUUUUUCUAAUAGUUGGAGUUGUACUAAUAUAAAGGGAACUGCCUUUGGAAAGAAUAUAAUUUUUGUUUCUGGAUACCCAUUCAGCAGGGAUAUUGCAGAAGAUGCAAACAUUAGAUGGUCAGACCAGAUCUGUGAGGCACCUUCCAAACUUAUACUUUUAUUAUUCUCAACUUUGUUUUGCAGGGGGUGGGGAGAAGAACAGCCACCUGACAAGUGGUUCUACUGCUUGGUUCAAAGAAGCAACAGUCUGCUUGGGGACUUUGGAAAAAGCCCACCUGAGUUACAGGAUUUUGGCAGAAGUAGCAAGAACUGAGCCCUCACUUGAAAUAUGCUAAGAAAACUCAAAGUCCUGAGAAAAGAAAUCAAAGUGAAGAACAUAUUCAGACAAGUUUCCAGUGGACACCCAUCAAAGUUUCUCCUGGUCAAUUGUGACUGGCUAACGUUACGUUUCAGUGGCCUGUGUGCUACUACAUUAAAAGGUCAGCUUCACUCUAAUAGAAAAUGCUUUGGAAGUCUGAACUGAUCUGUGUUAUUCAGAAUAUAACAGACAUCUUCAAUCAAAUUCCAUCCAGAGAAUUUUCUGGGCACGAUUUAAAAUGUGGGGAAAAAAAAUUUAAACCAUUCACCUAUCUCUGGGAAUCAGAACUGAUUACCUCAUACAAUAUCUAAAGGUUCAUCAAAGCAAAGAUCUUCGAGAAGCAAUCACAGUGACAAAAUCAGUAUCCGAGUUCAUUUCUCUGAGUUUCUUAGCAGUGAAUUUUAUCAUGGAUCUUUUCGGCUCCAUCAUUUUUUUAUUCAAACAGACAGAUGUUUAUAGCCCAAAAAAAAAAAAAAAAAAAAAAAAA
Molecule: long non-coding RNA, 5945 nt
Organism: Sus scrofa (pig)
Lineage: Eukaryota; Metazoa; Chordata; Mammalia; Artiodactyla; Suidae
Source: RefSeq, a predicted model, not a curated record